RNAcentral lists this ribosomal RNA (375 nucleotides) under uncultured Anoxybacillus sp. Its description in RNAcentral is "bacterial SSU rRNA". It matches the Rfam family "Bacterial small subunit ribosomal RNA", at positions 1012 to 1382 of the family's 1533-position model. The record is from RNAcentral. Lineage: Bacteria; Bacillati; Bacillota; Bacilli; Caryophanales; Anoxybacillaceae.
UUCCCCCUUCGGGGGGACGAGGGUGGACAGGUGGUGCAUGGUUGUCGUCAGCUCGUGUCGUGAGAUGUUGGGUUAAGUCCCGCAACCGAGCGCAACCCUCGACCUUAGUUGCUAGCAUUCAGUUGGGCACUCUAAGGUGACUGCCGGCUAAAAGUCGGAGGAAGGUGGGGAUGACGUCAAAUCAUCAUGCCCCUUAUGACCUGGGCUACACACGUGCUACAAUGGGCGGUACAAAGGGUCGCGAACCCGCGAGGGGGGAGCCAAUCCCAAAAAGCCGCUCUCAGUUCGGAUUGCAGGCUGCAACUCGCCUGCAUGAAGCCGGAAUCGCUAGUAAUCGCGGAUCAGCAUGCCGCGGUGAAUACGUUCCCGGGCCUU